Molecule: ribosomal RNA, 253 nt
Filed under: uncultured bacterium
Lineage: Bacteria
Description: partial 16S ribosomal RNA
Rfam family: Bacterial small subunit ribosomal RNA
Source: RNAcentral
UACGUAGGGGGCUAGCGUUGUCCGGAAUCAUUGGGCGUAAAGCGCGUGUAGGCGGUUCGGUAAGUCCGCUGUGAAAGUCGGGGGCUCAACCCUCGAAUGCCGGUGGAUACUGUCGGGCUAGAGUGCGGAAGAGGCGAGUGGAAUUCCUGGUGUAGCGGUGAAAUGCGCAGAUAUCAGGAGGAACACCAAUUGCGAAGGCAGCUCGCUGGGACGCUACUGACGCUGAGGAGCGAAAGCAUGGGGAGCGAACAGG